RNA transcript from Helianthus annuus (common sunflower), 1770 nucleotides. It is a transcript of the gene named probable protein phosphatase 2C 60, with no coding region annotated. The record is from RefSeq and is a predicted model, not a curated record. The transcript has 8 exons. NCBI's taxonomy places the organism in Eukaryota, Viridiplantae, Streptophyta, Magnoliopsida, Asterales, Asteraceae.
AGCGGCCAUUUUUAGUUCAAAGUUUGAAUCCCCGCUCAUUCUCACUUCCCAUACAUCCCGACAUCCUGUCUAUCAUAUUAGGGUUUUGAGAGUCAUUUCAAAACUUUUCAAAAUCGCUGCUUCCCUGCUCCUCUCUUUAUAUCUCUCUCUCUCUCUCUCUCUAGCGAUUCAGGAACACAUUUCACCAGAUCUAUGAAGUUUUAACAGAUCGAUGAACAUUCUGACCUCCUGGUUCCGAUUUCCGGCUUUUAUUGGCUGAUCAGGCGUUGGAGGUAGCCAGCCGGUUGAUCUUUAGAAGACCUGCACCUGAGAAUUUUAAAUAUGCGGCCCCCAAACACUAAAGGGUGUCAUUGUGUGGUAUAGCGUACGAUAAUGGGUUUACUUGUGAGGAUUUUGAUUCUGCUCAUCUUUAUUACCAGGGUUGUGAAUGAGAUCAAUAACUUAGCAACAAGGAAGAACAAAGAAUGGAAAGAUAAGCUGCCAAAUGUUGUUUUAAAAGCUGAAGAAAUCAUGUAUUCUAAAGCAAAUUCUGAGGCAGAGUAUAUGGAUCUUGAAAUCCUAUGGGAUAGAGCUAAUGAUGCCAUUAACACCAUAAUUAGGUUGGAUGAAAGUACAGAUGGUGUUUUCUUGCAGGUACCUUUAUUGUUCAUUUUUUUCUUGGAUGAAAGUACAGAAACUGGUGUUUUCUUAGUUGUUUGUAGAACAUCUACUUGCUCUUGAUGGAGCUAAGGAAAGACUGUCCUUGUUUGAAGCUAACUUGAUUGCAGAAGGAUCUUUUGAUUCCACAAUACAAUAGCAGCUUUCUUGGAUUCACCUAAUUAUAGUUGUCAAUUUUGGAGCAUCACAAAGUCAUUACGAUUUCAAAUUGGGGCUGCAGUUCAUCAAACCCAGAGAGGCUAGGUUUCAUAGCAAUAAUGAGGGUAAAUCGAAUGGUUGGCUGCAGGAGCAGACCUCCAUUGUUUCAAAAACAUAAUAGAGCCCAAAUGGCAGGUCGCGCUCUUUGUGCUGGUGGGACAAAUAUUGGGUUUACAUGUUUAAAAACAUAUGGAGAUGCAAGAUAAACAAUAGAGGCAUUUUAUCAUGCAGCUGCGACAGAAGAAGGGUUUGUAUCGAUUGUUUCUUGACAAUGGUGGUGAAAUCGCAUGUAGUUGCUAUUGAAUAUUUAUGUCUGUUUGGUGUGAUUUCAAAAGGAAGACUAUGUUGCAAAUGCUGGUGAUUCACGUGUUGUUUUGGGGCUAGCCGUUAAGGCUACUGGGGAGGCUAUUGCAAUCCAAUUUUUGACUAAACAUAGUGCAUACAUAGAGUCUGUUAGAGAAGAACUUCGUAGUUUGCACCUCUAUGACCAUUAUAUUGUAGUUUUGAAAGACAAUGUGUGGCAUGUGAAGUGCCUCAAUCAGGGACAUGUGGUUUGGAUGAUGACCUCUACCCGCAUCAAUAACCGAAACGGUUAAUGGCGAUUUGGUGGCGGACAUCAGAGUUUGGUGAUGGUAGUCAUGACUCCAGCGGUUAUUGGGGUUUAAGGUUAGCAUGUUCAUUUUGCAGCUGUUUUCAGAUUAUUUAUAACUUGAAUUUUGAUCCUCAUAUUAGCUUUAUAAUCUAUUUAUUUGUAUCCGUUUUGUUAGUUUACUUAGUUGAAAGGCUUAGUGUCAACUACCGUGAAUUUGUAUCUGUACCGUCAGUUUAUAUGAAUUGGAGUUAAUUAUUGCUGCAUGAAUGUGUAUAUGAAUCCUCUAACGAUGAAAGCAGAAUGUUGAGAAUGCUUCUUAAUAA